This 884-nucleotide ribosomal RNA is filed under the name uncultured bacterium. RNAcentral's name for it is "bacterial SSU rRNA". It matches the Rfam family "Bacterial small subunit ribosomal RNA", at positions 50 to 915 of the family's 1533-position model. The record is from RNAcentral.
CUAUCAUGCAAGUCGAGCGAACAGACGAGGAGCUUGCUCCUCUGACGUUAGCGGCGGACGGGUGAGUAGCACGUGGAUAACCUACCUAUAAGACUGGGAUAGCUUCGGGAAACCGGAGCUAAUACCGGAUAAUAUAUUGAACCGCAUGGUCCAAUAGUGAAAGACGGUUUUGCUGUCACUUAUAGAUGGAUCCGCGCCGCAUUAGCUAGUUGGUAAGGUAACGGCUUACCAAGACAACGAUGCGUAGCCGACCUGAGAGGGUGAUCGGCCACACUGGAACUGAGACACGGUCCAGACUCCUACGGGAGGCAGCAGUAGGGAAUCUUCCGCAAUGGGCGAAAGCCUGACGGAGCAACGCCGCGUGAGUGAUGAAGGUCUUCGGAUCGUAAAACUCUGCUACUAGGGAAGAACAAAUGUGUAAGUAACUAUGCACGUCUUGACGGUACCUAAUCAGAAAGCCACGGCUAACUACGUGCCAGCAGCCGCGGUAAUACGUAGGUGGCAAGCGUUAUCCGGAAUUAUUGGGCGUAAAGCGCGCGUAGGUGGUUUUUUAAGUCUGAUAUGAAAGCCCACGGCUCAACCGUGGAGGGUCAUUGGAAACUGGAAAACUUGAGUGCAGAAGAGGAAAGUGGAAUUCCAUGUGUAGCGGUGAAAUGCGCAGAGAUAUGGAGGAACACCAGUGGCGAAGGCGACUUUCUGGUCUGUAACUGACGCUGAUGUGCGAAAGCGUGGAGAUCAAACAGGAUUAGAUACCCUGGUAGUCCACGCCGUAAACGAUGAGUGCUAAGUGUUAAGGGGUUUCCGCCCCUUAGUGCUGCAGCUAACGCAUUAAGCACUCCGCCUGGGGAGUACGACCGCAAGGCUGAAACUCAAUGGAAUUGACG